UGGGGAAUAUUGCACAAUGGGCGCAAGCCUGAUGCAGCCAUGCCGCGUGUGUGAAGAAGGCCUUCGGGUUGUAAAGCACUUUCAGCGGGGAGGAAGGCGAUAAGGUUAAUAACCUUGUCGUUUGACGUUACCCGCAGAAGAAGCACCGGCUAACUCCGUGCCAGCAGCCGCGGUAAUACGGAGGGUGCAAGCGUUAAUCGGAAUUACUGGGCGUAAAGCGCACGCAGGCGGUCUGUCAAGUCGGAUGUGAAAUCCCCGGGCUCAACCUGGGAACUGCAUUCGAAACUGGCAGGCUAGAGACUUGUAGAGGGGGGUAGAAUUCCAGGUGUAGCGGUGAAAUGCGUAGAGAUCUGGAGGAAUACCGGUGGCGAAGGCGGCCCCCUGGACAAAGACUGACGCUGAGGUGCGAAAGCGUGGGGAGCAAACAGG
RNAcentral lists this ribosomal RNA (429 nucleotides) under Chloroflexota bacterium. Its description in RNAcentral is "Chloroflexi bacterium partial 16S ribosomal RNA". It matches the Rfam family "Bacterial small subunit ribosomal RNA", at positions 355 to 776 of the family's 1533-position model. Lineage: Bacteria; Bacillati; Chloroflexota. The record is from RNAcentral.